GGUCAUAGCUCAGUGGUAGAGCACUCGCCUCAUGCAUGUGUGAGGCCCUUGGUUUGAUUCUCAGCACCA
This 69-nucleotide transfer RNA is filed under the name Marmota monax (woodchuck). RNAcentral's name for it is "tRNA.Met". Lineage: Eukaryota; Metazoa; Chordata; Mammalia; Rodentia; Sciuridae. The record is from RNAcentral.